This 802-nucleotide ribosomal RNA is filed under the name Staphylococcus aureus. RNAcentral describes it as "partial 23S ribosomal RNA". It matches the Rfam family "Bacterial large subunit ribosomal RNA", at positions 745 to 1549 of the family's 2925-position model. The record is from RNAcentral. Lineage: Bacteria; Bacillati; Bacillota; Bacilli; Caryophanales; Staphylococcaceae.
UUGAAGUUCAGGUAACACUGAAUGGAGGACCGAACCGACUUACGUUGAAAAGUGAGCGGAUGAACUGAGGGUAGCGGAGAAAUUCCAAUCGAACCUGGAGAUAGCUGGUUCUCUCCGAAAUAGCUUUAGGGCUAGCCUCAAGUGAUGAUUAUUGGAGGUAGAGCACUGUUUGGACGAGGGGCCCCUCUCGGGUUACCGAAUUCAGACAAACUCCGAAUGCCAAUUAAUUUAACUUGGGAGUCAGAACAUGGGUGAUAAGGUCCGUGUUCGAAAGGGAAACAGCCCAGACCACCAGCUAAGGUCCCAAAAUAUAUGUUAAGUGGAAAAGGAUGUGGCGUUGCCCAGACAACUAGGAUGUUGGCUUAGAAGCAGCCAUCAUUUAAAGAGUGCGUAAUAGCUCACUAGUCGAGUGACACUGCGCCGAAAAUGUACCGGGGCUAAACAUAUUACCGAAGCUGUGGAUUGUCCUUUGGACAAUGGUAGGAGAGCGUUCUAAGGGCGUUGAAGCAUGAUCGUAAGGACAUGUGGAGCGCUUAGAAGUGAGAAUGCCGGUGUGAGUAGCGAAAGACGGGUGAGAAUCCCGUCCACCGAUUGACUAAGGUUUCCAGAGGAAGGCUCGUCCGCUCUGGGUUAGUCGGGUCCUAAGCUGAGGCCGACAGGCGUAGGCGAUGGAUAACAGGUUGAUAUUCCUGUACCACCUAUAAUCGUUUUAAUCGAUGGGGGGACGCAGUAGGAUAGGCGAAGCGUGCGAUUGGAUUGCACGUCUAAGCAGUAAGGCUGAGUAUUAGGCAAAUCCGGUACU